RNAcentral lists this ribosomal RNA (1364 nucleotides) under uncultured Coriobacteriales bacterium. Its description in RNAcentral is "16S ribosomal RNA". It matches the Rfam family "Bacterial small subunit ribosomal RNA". The record is from RNAcentral. Lineage: Bacteria; Bacillati; Actinomycetota; Coriobacteriia; Coriobacteriales.
AGAGUUUGAUCAUGGCUCAGGAUGAACGCUGGCGGCGUGCCUAACACAUGCAAGUCGAACGGUUAAACCGCCCUCGGGCGGACAUACAGUGGCGAACGGGUGAGUAACACGUGACCAACCUGCCCCGCGCUCCGGGACAACCGCUGGAAACGGCGGCUAAUACCGGAUACUCCGCGGCCCCCGCAUGGGGGCGGCGGGAAAGCCCCGACGGCGCGGGAUGGGGUCGCGGCCCAUUAGGUAGUAGGCGGGGUAGAGGCCCACCUAGCCGACGAUGGGUAGCCGGACUGAGAGGUCGAUCGGCCACAUUGGGACUGAGAUACGGCCCAGACUCCUACGGGAGGCAGCAGUGGGGAAUUUUGCGCAAUGGGGGAAACCCUGACGCAGCAACGCCGCGUGCGGGACGAAGGCCCUCGGGUCGUAAACCGCUUUCAGCAGGGAAGACCACGACGGUACCUGCAGAAGAAGCUCCGGCUAACUACGUGCCAGCAGCCGCGGUAAUACGUAGGGGGCGAGCGUUAUCCGGAUUCAUUGGGCGUAAAGCGCGCGUAGGCGGCCGCCUAAGCGGAACCUCUAACCCCGGGGCUCAACCUCGGGCCGGGUUCCGGACUGGGCGGCUCGAGUGCGGUAGAGGAGAGCGGAAUUCCCGGUGUAGCGGUGGAAUGCGCAGAUAUCGGGAAGAACACCGAUGGCGAAGGCAGCUCUCUGGGCCGUCACUGACGCUGAGGCGCGAAAGCUGGGGGAGCGAACAGGAUUAGAUACCCUGGUAGUCCCAGCCGUAAACGAUGGAUACUAGGUGUGGGGGGAUCCCCCCUCCGUGCCGCAGCCAACGCAUUAAGUAUCCCGCCUGGGGAGUACGGCCGCAAGGCUAAAACUCAAAGGAAUUGACGGGGGCCCGCACAAGCAGCGGAGCAUGUGGCUUAAUUCGAAGCAACGCGAAGAACCUUACCAGGGCUUGACAUGCGCCUGAAGCCGCGGAGACGCGGUGGCCGAGAGGAGGGCGCGCAGGUGGUGCAUGGCUGUCAUCAGCUCGUGUCGUGAGAUGUUGGGUUAAGUCCCGCAACGAGCGCAACCCCCGUCCCGUGUUGCCAGCAUUAGGUUGGGGACUCGCGGGAGACUGCCGGCGUCAAGCCGGAGGAAGGUGGGGACGACGUCAAGUCAUCAUGCCCCUUAUGCCCUGGGCUGCACACGUGCUACAAUGGCCGGUACAGAGGGUUGCCACCCCGCGAGGGGGAGCGGAUCCCGGAAAGCCGGCCCCAGUUCGGAUCGCAGGCUGCAACCCGCCUGCGUGAAGCCGGAGUUGCUAGUAAUCGCGGAUCAGCACGCCGCGGUGAAUACGUUCCCGGGCCUUGUACACACCGCCCGUC